GUGCCAGCCGCCGCGGUAAUACGUAGGGGACAAGCGUUGUCCGGAUUUACUGGGCGUAAAGGGCACGCAGGCGGUUUUUUAAGUCAGAUGUGAAAGGUACCGGCUCAACCGGUGACAUGCAUUUGAAACUGAAAGACUUGAGUAUUGGAGAGGCAAGUGGAAUUCCUAGUGUAGCGGUGAAAUGCGUAGAUAUUAGGAGGAACACCGGUGGCGAAGGCGGCUUGCUGGACAAAUACUGACGCUGAGGUGCGAAAGCGUGGGGAGCAAACAGGAUUAGAAACCCCAGUAGUCCCGAAA
Molecule: ribosomal RNA, 297 nt
Filed under: uncultured bacterium
Lineage: Bacteria
Description: partial 16S ribosomal RNA
Rfam family: Bacterial small subunit ribosomal RNA
Source: RNAcentral